UAAAAAAAAAAAGCUCACAAACUGCAAUUUCGCUAAAAGAUUUGUUAAGACCUAUCCAAAAGUGAGGGACAAGUGUCUUGAAACCUCCUUCUUAAAAGAAGUCAAGUCGUAGGAAGAUGGAAAUACAGAAGCAGGCAGGGAGUUGCAGAGUUUACCAGAGAUAUGUAUGAAUGAUUGAGAAUACUAGUUAACUCUUGUGUUAUAGAGUUGGAAUCAUUUUUUUAGCUCUGGCGGGAGGGUACCCACCACCAAAAAUGGCUAGCAAUGGCCAUUCUUGAUUGUUUGAGUUAUAAGGAACCUUCUGGUACAGGUUUCGGUUUUGAGCUGACCUAGAAAAAAUUUUUUCAGGUCCUUAUUUAGGGUUCUGCAGCCAAGCCUAGCGUCAGGUACCGGGCAGACUUACAUUUCAGUGAUCCGCGGUAGCAUAGAGUAAUAUAGCAUCAGAGAAAAUUCUUUCAUUUUUCAGCUACCCUGACCAUGCUGGCUCUCGGACUACACAAUCUCUCAAUGGGGCACUUCCCAAAGAAAUUUAAAGCUUCAUAAAUAUCACUAAUACCUAAAUUCCUAAAAUACAGACAUACUCAAUUGCAGACCUAAUAUCACUACUGGAAGUCCGAGGAAAAUUUACGAAAAUAAACCCUCAACAAACGUAUAAAACACCACAUUGAAACCUAACAGUACACUGCCAGGCAUACAACAUGGUUUCAGAACAAAUAGCGGAAUAGAAAUUGCACUAGCCAUUACCCAAGGAAAAAUAGCAAAUGCCUUAACAAAUAAACACGUCAAUGGUACCUGGUACUAAGAGACAGUCAAAUUAUUCGAUAAUGUCUGGCACAACGGCCUGCGUAUUUAGCUCCUCAAUCUAAGACUGCCUGACAUCAUAAUCAAAUCAACAGGUUUCUUUCUUCAACCUUGGACCUGGGAAAAAAUAACUCAACAAAACAUGCACAGGAGUCCCUCAGGGCAGCUCUCUUUUACCUGCACUGUACUUUUAUCUACACGUCAGACAUGCACCAAGCUACAACUGGUCCAUUAAAUAUAAUGGAACAGAAAACAAAAGACAAGUUGGAGAGAGUACUGCAAGCCAGAAACUACAUCGAUACUACGCUGAUGAUACCACCCUUCACUUCUCCGUCUUUUCCAUCUUUCCCGUAGAAAGGUUAAGAAGUUUGGUUUCAAAGAUGAUUGAUGGGUAAUAAGAAGAAAAUGGCUGACAACUCUAAGGAUCACCAUUGUUCAUAAACACUUGAAUCACUUGAAACCCUUUUUUAUACUUACAUUUAAUAAUCUUACUUAUUAUAAGUGGUAAUUAACAUUAUGCAAGCAGCCCAUAGGAAGCAAAACUCGCUUGUUGGGCAAUGUAAUUAUGUUUAGCUAUUCUAGUCGUCAAUAGACAUACAUAUGCAAUAAUGGUUAUGUAAUACAUUUUACCUCUAUACAACCUCAUUUUGGAAACAUACGAAGACAAUGGCAUUUUUAUCAAUAUUGAGCAAAUAUACACUGUUUGUAAUGUAGGUAGUUGUUGGAUGUGAUUGGGCACAGAAUUCCCAAUUUUGGGACCAGAAUACGUUAAAGAGCGUUGGAAGAGUGACAGGCUAUGUUGUUGAACACGGAGGUACUCACGUGUGCGGGUGGGAUAAUUGUGUUGUGGUAGUGAAGCUGUUAUAUCACCUCUGUUGACUGAUUUGUACAUAGACUGUAUGUACCAAUUUGUAAUUUAUUUAUAUCAAAAAGUCUAAGGAUGUUCAUGCUCUUGAAUAAGGGUUGUGAGUGAUCAUAAUAACCAUGGUUUGAAAUAAUCCUAGUUAUCUUUUUCUGUAAAGAUAACAAGGAAAGUAAAUGUGUGGGAUAUGUGUUACACCAAAGUGGUGUGAAAUACUGAAAAUAUGGUAAUGCAUGGGCAUUGUACAUUAUUUGUAGGACAUUGUUUGGCAUGAAAUUUUUAACGUGGUACAGCAGUGAUAUAAUCCUUGAUAAUUUGUGACUUGUAUAUGAAAUGUGUGGUUUAAAUGUCAUGUCUUCAUCAAAUUUGAUACCUAACAUUUUAUGUUGCUCAGUUUUUGCAAUGACAGAAUUGUCAUUCUUUAGAGGCGGCAUUAUAUCUGUUGAUUUGUUAGUAAAUAACAUGUAAUACGUUUUACUUGAGUUAAUAGUUAGUCUAUUACUAACGCACCAGUUGUAUAAGAUUUCUAGAUCAGAAUUAACAGUUUCAAUCAUAGAUAUAGGUCUUCCCCAGUUAUGUAUAGGGUAGAAUCAUCAACAAGAAGUACUGACUUAAGUUGAGGAAAUAUCUGAGAAAUAUCAUUAAUUUAAGUCAAAAAUAGGAUAGAACCUAGUACACUGCCUUGUGGAACUCCAUAUUUUAUGUUUAGUGGUGAAGAUAUGUGACUCAGAAUCUUGGUAGAUUGUGUUUUGUUGGAGAGAUAAUGUUUAAACAAUCAUACAUUACACCUCAAAUACCAUAAUGUUUAAUUUUUGUAGUAAUGUAUCAUGUCUAACUGUGUCAAAAGCCUUACAGAAAUCAAUGAAAAAUUAAAAGUUAGGAAUGUUGUGAAUCUAAGGCGGAAUAGAUAUUUUCAGAAAGGAUUUUUAAUGCAUGGAAGGUACUCAAACUUUGUUGAAAACCAAAUUGUUCAGGCGUUAUAGUAGAUUUACUUUCAAGAAAGUUUAGUGAAUUUUUUUUUCAUUAAUUUCUCAUAGAUUUUAGGAAAGGUCUUAGGCAGUGAUAUGAGUCUGUAAUUACCAAGCUUAUCCUUUGAACCAUUUUUAUAUUGGGAUUACUGUGGCAUGUCUCAGAACCUGUGGAAAUAUACCCUGCUCGAUAAACUGAUUGAAUAUUAAAGAUCGUGGGAUAGCUAUAGGUUCACAAUUACCUUUAAUUAUAGAUACAGGAAUCUCAUUGGCAUUAGACGUUUUGUUUUUUAAGGUCUUUAUAACUGAUGUAACAUCACUAGGAAGAAAAGAAGGGACAGACAUAGAUGUAGGAUAGUCACCUCGCAGAAACGUAAUUGGAUCAGCAGUGGCCGGUGGUAUGUUGCCAUCAAGGUUGACAGCAAUAUUUGUGUAAUAUUCAUUUAAUGCAUUUGAUAUCUCAGAAGGAGUUCCAAGUAUUGUAUUAUUUAGGGAAAUAUAAUUCAGAUAUAUUUUAUUGUGGAUGUUUUUAAGUUGAUUAAUUUCAUUACAGAUUUUUUUGGAUCAUUUUUUUAAAUUUGUAAACAUGUUUAUGUAGUAAGACAUCUUUGCAUUACUAAUAAUCCUGUUUAGCAUAUUCCGGGAUAUUUUACAUUGAAUUUCGGUUAUAGUACUUACUUUAUAAUCUUUAUGUAGGUUGUUUUUACUCUUAAUCAACUUGAUUACAUUUGUUACUAUCCACGGGUUGUUCAGUCUUUUUCAGAAACGUAUGUAGUUUUCAACAGAAAACAUUCUAUGUACAAUCCCUGGAUUUUAUCAAUAAACUUACUUGAUGUUAA
Long non-coding RNA from Portunus trituberculatus (swimming crab), 3470 nucleotides. RefSeq lists it as uncharacterized. NCBI's taxonomy places the organism in Eukaryota, Metazoa, Arthropoda, Malacostraca, Decapoda, Portunidae. The record is from RefSeq and is a predicted model, not a curated record. The transcript is spliced from 2 exons.